This 52-nucleotide transfer RNA is filed under the name Ruminococcus sp. CAG:254. It matches the Rfam family "tRNA", at positions 1 to 51 of the family's 71-position model. Rfam says of the family: Transfer RNA (tRNA) molecules are approximately 80 nucleotides in length. Their secondary structure includes four short double-helical elements and three loops (D, anti-codon, and T loops). The record is from Rfam by way of RNAcentral. Lineage: Bacteria; Bacillati; Bacillota; Clostridia; Eubacteriales; Oscillospiraceae.
GGCCCGUUGGUCAAGAGGUUAAGACACCGCCCUUUCACGGCGGAAUCAUGGG